RNAcentral lists this RNase P RNA (400 nucleotides) under Listeria seeligeri. Its description in RNAcentral is "bacterial RNase P". It matches the Rfam family "Bacterial RNase P class B". Rfam says of the family: Ribonuclease P (RNase P) is a ubiquitous endoribonuclease, found in archaea, bacteria and eukarya as well as chloroplasts and mitochondria. Its best characterised activity is the generation of mature 5'-ends of tRNAs by cleaving the 5'-leader elements of precursor-tRNAs. Cellular RNase Ps are ribonucleoproteins. The record is from RNAcentral. Lineage: Bacteria; Bacillati; Bacillota; Bacilli; Caryophanales; Listeriaceae.
AAUAACGUUCGGAUAAUCGCUGUUUUCUUAGGGAAGCAGAGGAAAGUCCAUGCUCGCACGGUGCUGUGAUGCCCGUAGUGAUCGUGCCUGGUCAAACAAUAAGCCAGGGCAUUCCGGUGUUUUCCGGUUUGACGGCAGGUGAAUGACCUAAGUCUUUUAGAUAUGGUCUUAUAACCUUGAAGGUGCCACAGUGACGAAGUUCCGGCAGAAAUGCUCGGAAGUGGAACGAGGUAAACCCCACGAGCGAGAAACUCAAACUUAUGGUAGGGGCACUUUUCCCGAGGAAUCAAGAACGAGGGACGAGGUGCGAAUUUAUUUUCGCGCAGAUAGAUGGUUAUCUCUUUACUAUUACCCUGUAUAUAGUAAAGAACAGAACAUGGCUUACAGAGCGUUAUUUGCA